UACGUAGGUGGCGAGCGUUAUCCGGAAUGAUUGGGCGUAAAGGGUGCGUAGGCGGCCUGCUAAGUCUGGAGUGAAAGGUACCGGCUCAACCGGUACAGUCUCUGGAAACUGGCGGGCUAGAGAGCAGGAGAGGGCGGUGGAACUCCAUGUGUAGCGGUAAAAUGCGUAGAUAUAUGGAAGAACACCAGUGGCGAAGGCGGCUCACUGGACUGUAACUGACGUUGAGGCUCGAAAGCGUGGGGAGCAAACAGG
This 252-nucleotide ribosomal RNA is filed under the name uncultured bacterium. RNAcentral's name for it is "partial 16S ribosomal RNA". It matches the Rfam family "Bacterial small subunit ribosomal RNA", at positions 524 to 776 of the family's 1533-position model. The record is from RNAcentral.